GGCGAACGGAUGAGUAACACGUGGGUGAUCUGCCCAGCACUUCGGGAUAAGCCUGGGAAACUGGGUCUAAUACCGGAUAGGACGAUGGUUUGGAUGCCAUUGUGGAAAGUUUUUCGGUGUGGGAUGAGCUCGCGGCCUAUCAGCUUGUUGGUGGGGUAAUGGCCUACCAAGGCGUCGACGGGUAGCCGGCCUGAGAGGGUGUACGGCCACAUUGGGACUGAGAUACGGCCCAG
RNAcentral lists this ribosomal RNA (233 nucleotides) under uncultured Actinomycetales bacterium. Its description in RNAcentral is "partial 16S ribosomal RNA". It matches the Rfam family "Bacterial small subunit ribosomal RNA", at positions 97 to 334 of the family's 1533-position model. The record is from RNAcentral. Lineage: Bacteria; Bacillati; Actinomycetota; Actinomycetes; Actinomycetales.